AAAAGUAGAGGCAUUAACAUUUGUCAUCUCUCCUGAAAAAUUAUUUCCAUCCAAAUAUAAAUUCUCCACCCCAUUCGCGCUGAGAAUCACAGGAACUACAUUUCCACUGAAGUUGUUAUUUGAUAGUUUCAAAAUGAUCAGUGAGCCUUUCGUGAUCAACUCUUCUGGUACUUUUCCAUACAAUUGAUUGUUUGAUAGAUCUAAAAAUGAUAAGUACUUCAUGCCACUUAAACAAAGUGGGAUAUUACCUUCAAAAGCAUUCUUGGAUAAGAGUAACCGCCUCAAAUGUGGAAAAGUUGAACAUAUACCAGUCGGAAUUUGACCUUGUAAUUUGUUUUCAGAUAUGUCAAUUGAAGAUACAUUAGAAAUAAGAGCUGACGAACGUGAGAGAGGACCUGUAAAUGAAUUACCCUUCAAGAUGAGUUCUUCUAACUUUGUGUUGUUUUCUAGCAACCAAGUUGGUAAAGUUCCACUGAGAUUGUUAUGAGAAAGAUCCACAUAUCUCAAGUCAUAUUGGUAGUAAAGGAAGGUAGGAACUUUUCGACUGAGUUGUUGAGAUGUUAUGCACUUUGACAAACUGAUGACUUCCAAUUGGAACUUUGGGAUUGAGGUAUAAAAGGAAGGUUCCAAUACCAUUUUGUUUUCAUUACUGGAGAGGGCUUUGAGGUUUGAAAGGUUUGCAAAUGGUGCAAAUGACAGUGGAAUUUGAAAAUGGUUUCUUGAAAUAUCUAACACACGAAGAGAUGUCAAGUUACUAAAACAAUGAGGAAGCAUCCCCUCAAGUGCAUUCUCACUCACUUCCAACACUUCAAGGUUCCUUAGAUCACACCAUCCUGAAAAUUUUAUAAAUUCAUGGAAGAAGUUUCAAUUAAAUCUUGUUUUAUAAAACAGAAUAGGAUAUAAUAUAUUACAGAAAGCACAUACAGCAAUCAAUUUGAGCCAUAAAAUUAUUUACCUUGAUUAGGUAAGGGACCAAUAAGUCCACAAUCAGAUAAAGACAAUGUUUUAAGAGAAGCAAAUACUCCAAUGCUUUGCAAAAUGUUGGUGUUGAGAGUAGAAUUGUCAAGAUAUAUUUCCUCCAAAUUGCUCAACACAUUUGAAUCUAAGCAAUGUCAAGAGGUAUUAGAUAACGGUAUUAUAGAAAGCCUCUACUAAGUGAAAUGCUUUAUUUUCUGUGAAUGAAAUGAAAUAUAUAAAUUUUUUUUAUGAGUGUUAGACUAUUCAUGAUUAUCUGAGAUAAAUUUUGAUGGAGAGAAGAUGUUGAAACUUUAAUAUAACUCUUCAUCCAUUUUAUUAAUUAUACUAUUUUUUUUCUUUUUAGUAUUUUCUUAUAUUAUUUUUUAAUAUAAGUAAUUAACUGAUAUGGCUAAUUUGUAUAAUUUUCAAACUCCAAUCAACAACACUAUAAAUAAUAUUUAUAAAAUAAAACAUUUCUACACUAAAAUUAUUAUAUUACCUUUAAAGUUACCAAUACUUUAAAAAAAAAUAAAAAUAGGUAUUUUACUCACCAAUAAAUAAAAUUCAAAAAUAUAUUUAUAUAUGAAAUUAAAAAAUUUAUAUGUAUUUUUACUUUAAAAAAAUAAAAACAGGUAUUUUACCAAUACUCUAAUAUGUAUUUUUAUGUUUUAUACUAUUAAAAAUAUAUGAAAUUAAAAUAUAGUUAUAUUACAUAUUUUCUCAUAAAUAUAUGUUUUUAUUUAUUUAUAAUAUCAUUUUUUUAUUGUUAUAAUCAUUUUUUAUCUCAUAAAAAUUCAAUAAAUUAUUUUAAAAAAUAUAUUUAUACAAACAAAAUAAUUAUAAACAUUAAUAUUUAAAAAUUAUGAAAAAUUUAAAGAAUUUUAGUUUCAAACCAAAGUCGAAACACAUUAUAAUGGAGGGUUUAGAAAAUGUUUCACCAAACCCAUAUUUUACUUUCAAGUAUGAUAUGAUAUAACUUUAUUAAUAUUUAUGACAAUAACUGUUAUUAUAAUAUCUGAGAUCAAAACUAAAUUUCUAAAUUAAAAAAGAAAAGGAAAUUUAAUUAAAUGAUACCUUGGUGGAUCACAAAAUCUCUCAAUUCAUUAUAGCUCAUAUCUAGUUCCCUUAAUUUGAUAAAUGCUUCCAAAUCUAGGAAAACAAAAACAACAAAUUAAUCAACUCCAUUAUAUUCUCUUAAAACAUUAUUAUAUUCUUGUUAAAAAACUAAUAUUUUUACCUUUCAUAUCUAUUGAUCCUUUCAAUUGAUUGACCCUUAUGCUCAACGAUUUCAAAUUUGAAAGCUUGUUAAGGGAUGCAAAUGCACUAGUAUUGAAGAGAUUUCCAUCUAAAUUAAGCUCUUCCAAGUGGGUCAACUCCAAUUUUCUACCACCAUCUACAAAAGAUUUAUAUAAUUUCAUCACUGAAAUGAAUUGGCAUAAAAUUUAAUUAUAUGUAAGAAUUUAGGUAAUUGGUUAAAUAUAAAUGCAUACCUUUAAAGGAUUGAAAGCUUUCAAUUUGAUUCCCACUUAAAUCGAGUUUCUUCAAAUUUGUUAAAUUGCUCAAUCCUAUACAUAUCCACGUCCAAUUUAAAAAAUCAUUAUGUUAAUAAUUUUAAUUUCUACUUAAUAUUUUAAUGAAAUAAAAAUGAAAAAGAAAGUAAAUCUAAAACUUGAAGUGAAGAUGAAAAUCCUCAAACGUGAAAUGUGAAUGUUCAAAAUUAAAACAAUUGAUUUUAAAAGGUUCUAGAAAGAAUUAUCAAGAAAAACAAAGUUAUAGCUUUAGUACCUUUAGUAUCUAAUGAGCCUUGCAAACUGUUCGACCUCAUAUUCAAGGACUUUAGGCUUGAAAGCCCUUGAAGAAAGGAAAUUGUGUUGUUCCGAAAGAGAUUACCACUCAAAUCAAGUUCCUCUAAGUUUGUUAGCCUCAAUUGUGUUCCAUCUAUCAUUGGAAGAAAAUAAUAUCAUUCAAGAUAAAAAUAGUUAGGAAAAAUGAUUGUUUGAGAAGGAAGAGGCAAUUUACAAGCUUUCCCAUGAAUUGAUAACUACAUUUUACAAGUAAAACUUAAUUGAUUCAAUAUAUAAAUACUUUGUUUGAGAUACCUUCCUAUUUUGAAAUACUGCAACAUUAACUGUCCCUUAAACAAAAAUUGGUUUUAAAGUGAAAAAGAAACAUAUAAAAGCAGUCCACCUUUAAUAUGAAUUGACAUAUAAAUACUGUACUUAUACCUUGGUUUGAGAUGCUUUCAAAUUUCAAUUCUGUUCCAACUUAAAUCCAAGUAUUUCAAGUUUGUCAAAUUAUUCAAUCAUAAAAUUCAAUCCCAAAUAUUGAUUAGUUAUAUAUUCAUCGUAUGAUGAAAUCAAACUUGAAUAUACAUUGAUUUUUAAAGUUGAAAAGAAACAGGUAAAAUCAGUCUACCUUGAAUAUGAUCCAUCCUUCCUUUCAACUCAUUACCACUCAAUCUUAAAGUCUUCAAGGAUGAAAGAUUUCUCAUAUGGAACAAAAUGCUAUUCUUCAAAGAAUUCCAACUUAAAUCAAGAGUUUCCAAGUUAUUGAGUCUUGAAAGCAAUUGAAAACCUGAUAUAUAUACAUAAUUACUUGUUAAUUGUUUUUUUCUUUCUUUGCUAUAUGAAAAUUUUACUAAAGCAAUAGUGGAAUUACAACGGAUAAAAAGAAUGGAAAACUAGGUACCAAACCCAGAAGACCAUCCUCAAACUCCACUAUACAAAUAAAAACUAACACCAGACCAAACUUAAUUUACCUCUUAGAUGACUUGAUCCUUCUAAUUUGUUGUGUGAUAGAUCUAAAUACCGGAGAGAUGAAAGCUCACUCAAAGAUAACAAAAUGCUGUCAUUCAAGUAGUUUUCACUUAAGUCAAGGAUCUCCAAAUUACUCAACGUGGAUGAUAGUUUUCCAAAGCCUAUAGAAAUAUUCUUUUAAAUAUAUACAAGUUAGUGACUUUUCUUCCAUAAAAUAAAAUAAAAUAUAAGUAAUUGCAAAUUAACGAUGGUGAGAGUAGUGGAAUAAUAAAAGAUGUAAUUAAGGAAAAACUAGAGGCACGACCUUCAUUUUCAAGAUUACCACUUAUGGCAUUCCCCGACAAAUAAAGACUCUUCAAUUCCUCAAAGGGAAGAAACAUAGAGGCAUUGAGAUACCAGGCAUUGAGAUUCCUAUUAUCCAUGUCGUAUUCCCAUUUUGUAGAAUUAAGGGAGAGUUGUAUGAGUCUCCUAGUGGUGGUGUUACACUCAACUCUUUCCCAUUUACAACAAUCUGAACCCUUCACCUCAACCCAACUAUUCAAUUGAUUACCAUCAUUGAAGAAAGGUUUGAGAUGCAAGAGAGCGAUUCUCUCAUGCUCCAAACAAGCAUCAGUAGUACACCAUCUGCAUCCUUCUAACACCAACAACAUUACUGCCAUCCUAAUAAACCUUAACCAUUUCCACUUCAUCAUCAUCAUCAUCUCUCUGUUUUCACUUCUCUCUCAGCUAUAUGUUACUUUUUUUUAACUUCUAUAUGUAUAUAAUCUAAAGAAGCCUAAGCUUCUUAUUUAUAUACAAGCAGAUGCAUCCCACUAACUCACUAUAAUGUAAAAAUAAUAUAUAAUUAAUUAAUUCCUCAAAAAUUGGAUCAAAAUCUAGGCUUCUUAUUUACGUAAAUUAUUUAUUGCAAAAACUCUUAGUGGAAAUUCGUUAGGAAGGGAUGAAGGGGCCACAAGAAUAUUGAUGUUAAUCUUGAAAAACGAAUGGCCAAAAAAAUAUGAAAAGUGAGAGGUGGACAUAAAAUCGUAUAGUUGGGAUUGCAAAAGUCUUCAUGUGGCUUUCUUGUGAGUUUCAUUUAUACCCUUCUUACACUUAUACAAACUUAGUCUUGACUUGGCUUUAUUAAUGGAAAAUUUAGGUCUUCAUUUUUGGUUUUAUUCAUAGAAAUUUUACUUCUUUGAUUUUGGUUUUAUUAAUGGAAAUUUUAAGUCUUCAGUUUGCUUUUAUUCUUGCACAUUUUAGGUUUUGAUUUUGAAAAUUUAGUUUUUUCAUCUCUAUUAUUAUAAAAUUUCUUAAUUUAAUUAAUAUCAUGAGUUAAUUUAAUACUUUAAAAAAUAAAAUAUUACAUUCACUAUUUUUUAAAAAAUAAAAGUAACUAUAAAAUUUUAUUAUUUAUAUAAUAUUUAAAAAAAAACUAUUUAUUUCUACUAGACCACUACUUUAAAACUAUCCAUUAUCAUAUUGUAAUAGGCCCAAUUUGCCCGGGCCCGGUAAAUAAAUAAAACCAAUAAAAUCAAAUAAAAAAUAGUCCCAAAACAGUCCAUUUACAAUGACCCAAUACCAACCCAAUGGCCUAAAUCUCUACCCAAGCCCGAAUCUAAACCUAAACAGGCCCAAAACCCACUAAACCUAAUGGCCCAAUACCCAGCUUGGCUGAGACAAACCCUAGCCUUCAGCAGCUUUCUGCUCUUGCGCUGCAGCCAAGCCGCUCCUCACGUACGAGCCUCAUUCAUGCGCCGCACCGAGCAACGCCAUCGCCAGGGACCACGCCUGUACUGUGCCACGCGAGCCUCCGUACAUGCGCGCCCGUUCACCUCUGUACCAGUACCUGCAAAUACACACAAGAAGCAGCGAAGCAACAAAAAAAAAGAGAAAAUAGCAGUAGAAAAAUAGGGGAUUUUCAGUUUUUAUUUGAUUUUUCUGGCUAUAAAAGCCAAACACGCAGAUUGUAUCAUAGGGGGAACUCACGCAUAUUGCAAAAAAACAAGGGGCAGAAAAUCAAUACAAAAAAAAAAAGAAAAGGUUUUCUCUUCCUUCAGGUCUCUUUUCUUCUCCAAUUGUUUCUUUUCUUUUUCGAUUGUUAUUAGCCUCAUAUAAGUAUAGAUAUAUAUAGAGUAAAUAAUAACAAAAAGGGGGGGUUAAAACGUACCUGGUGAUGCCUUUGAAUCCACGCGAAGAAGCCAAAAAGCCUUGAAUGGUGAGGCUCCGACCACCAUUCGCAGUGGAAUCAAGGCGGAGGGGCGGACUGACGGCACUGAAGACUAGGGUGAAACCCUAGCAGAGGAAACAAUAAGCAAUUUUUUUUAAAAACGAGUCUGCUAAUGUUUUUUUUAGGGUAAAUUUUGUUUAAAUAAUGAUACAAUACGGAGCCGUUUUGGGCUAGGGUUCCUAGCGUCCAAACGACGUCGUUUAGAGGCCUUACCCAAUGACCCGAUCCAGAUGGCGGCUAGAUCCGCGUGUUUGGUAGGGGGAGGGGAAAUUUCGCGAAGAGUCCCUCUUGUUUUGUGCCGUUUCGGUUUGAUUUUCUUCAUUGUUUUUAAUUUGAAUCGCGUAUUUUAUUUUGUUUUCAAUUUGAUCCACAGUUAAACGGCGCCGUUUUCACUAAUCGGAUUUGAGCAUCCGAACAUUUGUGUUUAUUUUCUGUUUUAGUCCUCUCUGUUAUUUUUUAUUAUGAUUUUUACCCUCCUAUUUUAUUUUCACCCUAAUUUAGUCCCGAAACUGUUAGAUUUCACUUUAUUUAUGCAAUGUAUAUAUUUAUUUAUUUUAAACUUUAUAUUAUUUAUUUUAAAUCGUUCUAUUACUAUUUAUUUUAAGCCUUUUUUACAUAUUAUAUGUUUUAAAUUAUGUUAAUCAAUUAUUCAUUUUAAAUAUAUAUUAUUUAUGUUAAACUACAAAUGUAUAUUAUUUAUUUGGAAUUGUUCUUAUGCACAUCAUGCAUUAUCAUUUUUAAAAAAAUAAUAAUAAUAGAAUUUGUUUGCAUAUUGUUCAUUUAGGAUUCCUUCUCACACAUUACUUAUUUUAAACGUUUUACAUAUUAUUUUAAAUUGUUUUAUAUGUUUUUUUUUAAAUGCUUUGAAGAUUAUUCAUUUUAACUUGUUUUACACAUUAUUUUAAUAUGUAUGGAAUUGCUUUAAUAUAUAUAUACGUGAAUAAAACGUAUUGUAACUGGUAAUUUCUAAAAUUUUAUUCUACGUUUUAAAAUUUUUAUCAUUUCGAUUAUGUUGAUUGGUUUACUUGGGAUUAAAUUAUUAUUGCAUUGAUUAUUCUUUUUUUUGAUUUUUUUGUUAGAUUGAUUAUUAGUUUAUUUGAUUAUCAAUGUUGAUGUAUUAUAUGUUUGGUUGCUCCAAAUUGUAAAUUUAGCUUGCUAUUCACCAUUUGAUUAGUAUAUUGAUAUUUUAUUAUAUUGUUUGUAAAAAUUGCAUUUCAUUAAAGCAUUACAAUUGUUUUAUUUCAAAAUUCUCAAAAAGCUUGGUAUUUAAAAAUUCUCGAGAGGAUUGUGCCCUAACUUACUGGGCUUACCUUUUUUAAUUUGAACAUAGAAGUUUCAAAAUAAAAGCUCAUUCUCGGGAAUUUGACACGUUGUGUCCUAACGCAUUGAAUAUGACUAUUAUUUUCUCGAGAUGAGGAUUUUAAGGCAAUGUUCGAUAUUUAGGAAUUUUGUGAAAUCGAACCCUAACUUACUGGGUUUUGAUUUUCUCAUUUGACCCAGAUAAUCGGACAUCCUCCUCAAAAUGCAUAGGUUUUAAAAGACGAGAGAUAAACUUAACUUGGAGGACUUAAAAUGUUGCACUCUAACUUACUAAGGGUGACGAUUUAUUUCUUUGAAAUAAGUGAGUCUCGUCGUCCAAUUCAUUUUAUUCAAAAUAAAAGGAUCAAAUUUUAAAAUCUUUUCAAAAUUUUGACAUUAAGACAUUAAACAUUCCAAUCGGUACCAAUUUUGGGCGUCACGAGGGUGCUAACCCUUCCUCGUGCGUAACCAACUCCCGAACCCGUUUUCUCAAAAAUUCGCAGACCUAAAAUUAUUUUCAAGGUGAUCCGCACACCACAAUAAAAGAUCGGUGGCGACUCCAUUUCCAUUUUCAAAAUUGAUCCCCAUUUUUCAAAUUACAAAAAAAUGGCUUCGACACAUAUAACUUCUCUUUAAUAAUUCACUAUUCUUUGAACAUUCAUUAGUUUUUGAAACAUAAAAUUUAUAAAUAAUUAUUUUUAGAGUAAACUACACCCAUGGUCACUUUUGUUUACCUUAGGUUACAUUUCAGUCACUUAUGUUUGAAAUGUUACGUUUUAGUCACUUAAGUUAUUGUGUUGUAACAUUUUAGUCACUGAGCCGUUAGUUGUCGUUAAUGGCUGACGUGGCACGUUAAAUUAUCAUUUCAAACAAAAACUUUAGGUUAAAUUAUACAAUUGGUUUCCAUAAUUUUUCGUUUUGAGCAAUUUAAUUCUUUUAUGCUCUUUAACUUUCUUUCUUUUUUUUCUUUAUUUUCCAUUCUCUUCUGCUUCUCCCUGUUUUCCUACAUUCUUUAUUUCUUUUAACAUAUCAGGAAGUCGAAUUGGUAGUGAAGAAAGAAGCAUGGUAUGGGUUUAUGGGCUUUGGUUAUGGGCAAAUGAUGACAGUCGACUUCCUACUUCUUUUUUCACUGUCAAUUCGACUUCCUAAUAUGUUAAAAGAAAUGGGAAAAGUAUGAAAACAGAGAGAGAAACAAAAAAGAAUGGAAAAAAAGAGGAAAGUUUAAAGAACAUAAAAGAAAAAAAAUUAAAUUACUUAAAACGAAAAAAAUAUGGGGAUCAAUUGUAUAAUUUAACCUAAAAUUUUGUUUGAAAUGAUGAUUUAACGUGCCACGUCAGCUUACCGUUACACCAUUAACGACGAUUAAUCGCUCAGUGACUAAAAUUUUACAACAUGAUAACAUAAAUGACUAAAACGUAACAUUUUAAACAUAAGUGACUAAAACGUAACCUAAGGUAAAUAAAAGUGACCAUGGGUGUAGUUUACCCUUAUUUUUAAUAUGACUUGAUUUUUACUUGAAUCAUUUUUGUAAUUAGUUAAUUAAAUUGGGUUAUUUUAAAAAAAUCCUCUUAACUAAUAGCCAAAAAAAAAAAAGCCAUCAUGUAGAAAAUUCUGGUUUGUUGGAAAAAUAAAGACUUGACCUAUUACUUUAGAUUUUGAAAUGUUCAACUUGAUAUUGACAUAUGAUAAUAUGUACAAAUUUCUCAUUCUUUUAAAUUUCAGUGAUAUUACAUGUAUGAUAAUAUGUUUGCCACACCAAAUUUGAAAAUAGUAGAACUUAAUGAAUUUAACAGAUAUCUAAAAUAUCAAAUUAAAGUCUAGGAAUUAAAGCUACAACAUCAGUAAAGUACAAGAACUAUGGUAGAAUUAAACCUUUAUAUAAUAAUUUCCUUCUAUGAACCACAAUUCAAGUGCACCCGACAAGCUAAUUAAUAAAAAUUUAGUGGUAGAAUAUGUAUAUUCUUGUGGGUGGAAAUUUAGUGGAGAUGCCCAUCAUCUUUCCUAAUUAAUAAAAAUGAAGACUUAGAAAAUGUGCAAUCAUAAUCCUAGUUGUCGUUAUGGCCCCAAGAAUAGGUAUAUUAAUUUGUCUCUCUUCAGGAUCAAAGAUAAAUAAUAAAUUUUAUAAAGUUAAAACCAUAAUUCUAUAAUUAUAUUAAUGUAUAAUUUCAUAAAAUUUUAAAAAAUGUAUCUUUCAACUUUUUUAAGUAAAUUGAUAAUUCGUUAACUCAUAAUAUUUUUUUUUUCAAAAUAUUUAUGAGAACGAGUUCGUAUUCUAUUGUGUGGAAAAUUUUAGUACAGAUAUUGGUGAAGCCAAAUCCAACUUGUUUGACCAAGAAAGUCUCUGUCGUGUGGAAAAUUUUAGUUUUGUGGAAAAUGGACAUUACCAUUUCCUUGAAUGACCAUCAAUUUCUCCAUUGAGAUAUAGUAAGAGGGAGUGAAAUAUAUAUAAGGUAAUAUUUAAUGUAUUCACACCAAAUUUCAUUAAUGAGUAAAACAAAUAAUGAAUAAUAAUGAAAAUUGGAGGAAAUUGUUAAGAAAAUAUCAUUACAUAUAUCAACACUCACAUAAUUCAUUGUAUUAACUUUCAAAUGUUGACUAUUGACUUCUACAUCAACCUUGAGCUUAUAUAGGCCCCCCUCACGGAAAUAAUCUCACAUUUAAUGCCUAGAGGUGCUUAUGGGCCGGGCCGGGCCCAGAAAAAAUUUUAGCCCGGGCCCGGCUCGGCCCGAAAUAUGGGCCUGAAAUUUUGCCCAAGCCCGGCCCGGUAAAAAAUUCAUAAGCCCGAGCCCGGCCAUUUUUUAAAUAAAUACCAAAAAUUUAUUUUAAAAUUAAAAAAAUUUAAAAAAAGUAUUUUAAAAAUAUUUUAAAUAAAUACCAAAAAUUCACCCUGCAUCUAAAAGGAGGUCCAGCACUCGAAUCCCAUUCCCCAUAACUAAAAACCAUGUCACUGUGACUUGGUCAUAUCUCCGUUCAAAGUCGGACAUGGGUAGUUAAAGAAAAAUGAAGAGUCGAUGCAUGAUAGACUAAGGACUAGCUCAAAAGUGCUUUUAGAAAAAAUUGCUCUUGAAAAGAGGUGUGGAAAAGUGUGCUUGUUAGUUUUUAGUGUUGUUCAUUGCUGCCAAAAAUCGCAAUUGAAAGUUAAAAUGUUCUUUUUAGACAUGAUAGUAGAAAGUAAAAAAUUAGUCAAGUCAUAUGAUUUUUAAAUAAUUUAAUAUAAUGAUACAUGAAAUAUAACUUUUAAAUACCUUUUAAGUAAUUAAUAUAAAUUAGUUGUAAAAUUGAUAAUAUAUAAAAUAUUUUGAAAAAAAUAAAUAUAAUAAUAAAUAAGAUUUAAACAAUUUAAUAUAAUAAUAUAUAAAAUAUAAAUUAAUCUAAUUUUUAUAUACCUUUUAAAUAGUUAAUGAAAAUAAUAGUAUUUUGAUAAUUUUCCCUUUGAAAUGCAAAAGCCAAAAACAGUUUUUGACUACAAAAGCUAUGUGUUGUUCAUCACUUCUGCAGUGGAAAAACACUUCUCCAUGGUGUAAAAACACUUUUACCCAAAAAGGCUUUUUCACCACAGUAGAGAAUGCACCCUAAAAUUGUAAAUAGAAAAAGGAAGAACCAAACAUUGUUUCUACCCUGUUUUUGUCUCCUCUUUGAAAAUACUUUCCAAAAGUUUUAUCAUUUUUUUUUCUGUUUACGAUGCCUUAAAUGCAAAUUCCUUAUAGAAGUGCUUUCUUUUGAUCCACUUGCAUCAUUGUAAUAAGUUUGCAUUGCCUUCUUUCUAUGUUGAUUAUCGUUUAUUAAGUUUUCUGUUGGAUCUUAUAGUCAAAUUCCUUUACAUCAUGUAUGUUAAUUUGCUUAGCCCUGAUAAAUGUUAGAUAUAGGGUUAUCAGCUAAUUAGGAAAGACUGUAAUGAUAGUCACACCUUACAUCCAAAUUUUUACAUUGAGGUUCCUUAUUAUUUUUUCUUGUUUCACCAAUUGCAUCCUAUUUACAGUUCCUUAGCGUUAUCCACUGUGCUAGGGUGGUUCUUGUUCAUAUAUUAAUCACCAUGCGCCUUCAGCAAAUGCAAAGCCAGCCAGCAUCUUCUGAUUUGUCAUUGGAUACUACACUUUCAGCAAAUGUAAAGCCGCCAGAUUUUCAGCUGUUUUUAGAAGGUCAAGACACAACAAGAGCAACAUAUGUUGUAUUCUUGUCAAACAAGAUAAGUUUUCGCAUAUUAACGAUUCUUUUUCCAAGAUGAAUUAUUCUCCUGUUGCAUUUUUAUUUGGGUUCAAAUGUUCUGUGAAGUUAGCUUGCCAGUGCUUGUUUGUUCAUCAGCAUUUACAGCUCAUUUGUCAUUGGUCAGCAGAAUUUCCGCUGUUUUUAGAAGGUCAAGACACAACAAGAUCAGCAUAUGUUGUAUCUAACAUUUAUAUUCAACAACUGGAAACCAUGUCAUAAAUACAUAUGAAAAAUAUUUAAAAAUCCUUGGUUGAAUACUCGUGCACUAACAUUUUUUAAAAGUUAAUUUUGUGUUACUUUUUUCAUCUCUAUUAUUAUAAAAUUUCCUGAUUUACUUGAUAUCACGACUUAAUUUAGCAUUUAAAAAAUGGAAUAUUACAUUCACUAUUUUUUUAAAAAUAGGAGUAACUAUCAAAAUUAAUUAUUUAUAUAAUCUUUUUUAUAAAAACUAUUUAUUUCUACUAAACCACUACUUUAAAACUACCCAUUAUCAUACAACUUCUCUUUAAUAAUUCACUAUUCUUUCAAACAUUCAUUAGUUUUUCAAACAUAAAAUUUAUAAAUAAUUAUUUUUACCUACAUUUUGAAUGAUGCAAUUUCUAACUAUACACUAAAAUACUCCAUUUAUCAAUUUAAUUUAAUUCAAAGAAUUAUGAUAAUAAUUGAAAUUUCAAAAAAGGAAAAAAACUAGAUAAUUGAAUAUUUAUAUACAAAAAUAAAACAAACAAGACAGACUUAAGCUUUCUUACCCCAAAGACAAGAUCUUUAUUCAAAAUGCAAAACUAGCAAAAUACUCCCUAAAAUUCAUCUAAACACAUCUUCUAAAGAUGUAAUACCCAAGAAGAUUGCCCACAGUUGGUGAUGCACUUCCCAACGAAAGAAAACCAAACUCCUCGCCAAUAUGGAUUUAUGUAAAGGAUAGCAACAAUUGUUAACAACAUAACUACAUAAGAAGCCAAAAAGCUCACACAAAAAACAUAUGUGUCUAGAAAACUAUCUUCUCUUUCAUCAUCUGAUAUUGUUGAUAUUGAACCGGUUUUGGAGCAACUUAUAUGAAGUAUAGGUCCACAGAGAAAAGGGUUCCCCUCGUAACUGCUUUCAAUGAAAGUCCCAAAUUGGUUUUGUUCUGGAAUACUACCUGACAAGUUGUUGUGUGCAACACUGAAAACCCCCAGAGAGUUCAAAUCUACCAGCUGGUUUGGGAUUUCACCACUCAAGUUGUUGUAAGAAAGAUCCAAACUCUCAAUCUGCUUAAGUUUUGAGAAUGAUGAAGGUAUAACUCCGACCAACUUAUUGCGUGACAAGUUCAAAGAAUGGAUUUCACGCAAGUUCCCUAAUUCAAGUGGGAUUUGACCAGUUAACUCAUUGCAAGAUAAAUCAAUCCCAGACAUGUAUUCAAGGAUGUCGCCUCCAUAUGAGAAAGAUCCACUCUUUGUGGUAAACUCUACCGAUUCUUUCAUGUAGCUAUAGGAAUGCAUCAUGUGCUCGAAAAGUAUACCCGUCUUUAAUAGUUUCAAUUCAUCCAGUUCUGAAAAUGUUGGCGACAUUAAAUCUGGUGUCAUGGUCUUAUCCUUAUUCAUUGGAAGAGUUAAAUUUCCCAAACAAGAAGGUAUAGGACCGGAAAACCUAUUUUGAGAAAGAUCUAUAAUGCUCAAGGAAUACAAGGUGCAUAACUGGACUGGAAUUCUUCCCUGUAAAUGAUUAGCUUUCAAGAGAAGGACACUCAAAGAAGAAAGUGUGUCGAUCCAUUUUGGAAUACCACCAGUAAAAUUGUUUCCUCUAAGAUCUAAUGUCACUAGUGAAGUGCUUUUAUUAAAAGCAAGUGACAAUGGACCACCCAGUCUAUUAUUGUGCAGGUGGACAUGCUCUAGGUUUGGAGGAUUAAAACAAGAUGGUAUAGAGCCAGAUAAAUUAUUUUCAGAAAGAUCCAAAAAUUUGAAGUUAUUCAAGUUGCAAAAUUCCACUGGAAUAGAACCCUCGACACCAUUGUUAGACAAGUCUAAUCUCUCCAAAAGUGACAUAUUCCCUAUCCAUCUUGGAAGCUUUCCAUGCAAUCUGUUGUUACUGAGAUCAAUAUCUGUUAGUGAUGUUGGAAACUGAAAAGUAGAGACAUCAAAAUUUGUCAUCUCUCCAGAAAAAUUAUUUCCAUCCAAAUAUAAUUUUUGUAACCCAUUUGCAUUGAGAAUCACAGGAACUACAUUUCCAUUGAGGUUGUUGUUUGACAGUCUCAAAAGAAAUAGUGAGCUUUUCCUGACCAACUCUUGAGGUACUUUUCCAGCCAAUUGAUUGUUUGAUAGAUCUAACAUUGACAAAUUCUUCAUGGCGCUUAAACAAGGAGGGAUAUUGCCUUGAAAGGCAUUCUUGGAUAAGAAUAACUGCUCCAAAUGUGGAAAAGUUGAACAUAUAUUGGUUGGAAGCGGACCUUGUAUUUUGUUGUCAGACAUGUCGAUUGAAGAUACAUUUGAAUUAGGAGUCGACAGUAAUGUGAGAGGACCUGUAAAAGAAUUACCCUUCAAGAUGAGAUCUUCUAACUUUGUGUUGUUUUCUAACAACCAAAAUGGGACAGUUCCACUGAAAUUGUUCUGAGAAAGAUCCACAAAUCUCAAGUCAUUUUGGUAGUAAAGGAAGGUAGGAAGUUCAAGACUGAGUUGUUGAGAUGUUCUGCACUUGGACAAACUAAUGAAUUUCAAUUGGAAUUUCGGGACUAAGGUGUGGAAGGAAGGUUCCAUUUCCAACUUGUUUUCAUCAGCCAAGAGGACCUCAAGGUUUGGAAAGUUUGCAAGUGGUACGAAUGAAAUUGGAAUUUGAAAAUGAUUACUUGAAAGAGAAAUGGCUCUGAGUGAUGUAAGACUUGCUAAAGGAGUUAGAUUUCCGGAAAAUCGAUUGUUGGAGAUAUCUAACUCACGAAGAGAUGUCAAGUUACUGAAACAAUGAGGAAGCAUCCCCUCAAGUGCAUUCCAACUCACAUCCAACACUUCAAGGUUCCUUAGAUCACACCAUCCUGAAAAAUUUAUGAAAUCAUGGAAGAAUUUCUAAUUAAAUUUGGUUUUCUAAAACAGAAUAGGAGAAAUCAGAUAAAGAAAAGGUCGUAUAGAAAAUUUUACCGUGAUCAGGUAAGGAACCAAUAAGUGCACACCUAUAUAGAGACAAAGUUUGAAGAGAAGUGAAUACUCCAAUGCUUUGCAAAAUGUUGAUGUUGAGACGAGAAUAAUCGAGAUUUAUUUCCUCCAAGUUGCUUAAUUCUAAUCAAUGAAAAGAGGUAGUAGGUGUUAAUGAAACGUAAGUUGUUUUGGAAUAGAAGAAGUAUUAGAUGUUAAUCAAGAAAAGGUGUUUACCUGAUGAGAAAGCCUCUACUAAGUUUUCUAGCGGAAUGCUAUCGUCGGUGACAAUACUUUGGAGACGAAGAACUUUUAACUUUUUCAAUCCCUUGUUUUCUGUGAGCGAAAAUAUUUUGAUAAAAAUUGUGAAAACUUCAACAUGAUUGCACUAAUUGUUUUUCUUUUCUUUCUAGCAUUUUAAGAUAAAUAAUGUGUAAAAUAGAAUUUUCCUUUAUUGAGAUCAUUAUAUUACUUUAAAUUUAUCACCACUAAAUAGAAAAUUAUUAUUAAAUCAAAGUUUUAAAUUUAUUAUUACUUAAAUGUUGUUUAUGCUGGGUGAUUUUGAUGAGAAUAAUUUAUUAUAUAAAAAUAAAAGUAUAUUUCUUAAAGUAAAAUAAGAGAAAUAUUUUAAAUUUUUUUGAAAGUGUUUAUAUACAUAUUACACUUAAUCACUCUUUUGAAAAUUCUAAUUACUCUUUUAAAUUUUAUGUUAAUUUUAAAAAGUAUAUAUAAUUUCAACAGAAAUAUUACUUUAAUAUUAAAAUGAAGAGCUUUUGUGGGUAAAAAAAAUUAUAUGAGUUUAUUUAAUUACAAAAAUAAUUUAAGAAUUUAUUUAAAAAAUAUGUAGUUGUUUUAGGCUCGAUCCUAGGGGUUAUUUGAGAGUGCGGUCGCCCAGGGCUGGAAGGGGCCCAAUUUUUUUUUCAGAUUUUAAUAUGGGAAAAUAUUCAGACUAAAAUAAAUAAAUAAAUUGCCUAGAGCUUUCAAAUUUUCACCAUAAAUACUUCAUCUCCUAUGGCUAAAAAAUUUUUCAGCUUUUAUUGUAUUACAUUUUAUAAUAUUUUUAAAAAGACUCGUUUAAAGACUUUUUUAAGUAUAUUAACCUAUUUUAAAAUUCCACAUUUUUAAAAUGUCUUAAUUUUCAAAUUAAAGUACAAACACACUAUAAUCCACAAGCCUUAAUUGCCAUGUCAACAUAAACCACCAUUUAGAAGAUUGUUUUCAUUUUUUAAAAAAUAAAAAAAAAUUAUUUAAAUGAUACCUUUGUGGACCACAAAGCCUCUCAAUUGAUUCCCACUCAUAUCUAGUUUCUGUAAGUUAGUAAAUGCAUCCAAAUCUGGGAAAGAAACAGAUAAGCUUCAUUAAAUCAUUCCAAAACAUGAUUAAUAUUUUUGUCUAUAGAGGCAUAAUUUGUCAAAAAAUAAUAAUUUUACCUUUCAUAUCUAUUAAUCCAUUCAAUUGAUUGAAACCUAUGCUCAAAGAUUUCAGAUUUGAAAGCUUGUUUAGAGUUGCAAAUACACUGUUAUUGAAGAGAUUUGCUUCUAAAUUAAGCUCUUCUAAAUGGGUUAACUCCAAUUUCUUACCUUCAUCUACAAAAGAUUUAACGUAAUUUCAUCAAUGAAAAAAAUGAUAUAAAUUUAAUUAUGUGUAAUAAAUUAUUUAACUGAACCCUAAAUUGUGGGUUAAUGGUUCAAGUGUUCGAAUUAUCAUUGUGUAAAAAAAACAAACUUAAUUAACGGACCAAAAUAUAAAUACAUACCUUUGAAGGAUUGAAAGUUUACCAUUUGAUUCCACCUUAAAUCCAACGUCUUCAAAAUUUUCAAAUUAUUCAAUCCUAUAUAUACUCAAGUUGAACAAAUAUUUUAAUAACUUGGCUGAAGUGAAAAGGGUAAAAGUAAGGAAGUUGAAAAAUCCCCAAAAGUGAAAGUACUAAUUUGAAACAAAUAAUUAUAAAGGGUCCUACAUAAGUAAGGACUUUAUGCUUGAAAGCCUUCAAGGAAGGAAAAUGUGUGGUUUCCAUGGGAUCUAAUUAUAAUCCUUGUUUGCUGGAUUCCACCUUUUUUAUUUGGCCAACAAAAAAUAAAUAAAUAAUAUAAAAAAAUUGUGAUUACUAAGGCUUCAACCUUGAAGUUUAAAUAGAAUUAUUCAAUCCCAAAAAUUGACCAAAAAUUUCCCUCAAACAAAACUUAACUUUAAAGUAGAAACAAAACCAGAGAAAGGCAAUCUACCUUGAAUAUGAGGCCACUUUCCUUCUAAUAGGUUGUAAGCUAGAUUUAAAUAUUGGAGAGAUGAAAAUUGGCUCAAAGAUAAUAUAAAGCUAUCAUUCAGAUGAUUUUGACUUAAGUCAAGGAACUGCAGAUUUCUGAAUGUGGAUGAUAGCUUUUCAAAACCUGCAGAGUUAAUAAUAACAAGUAAUCGCAAAAUUAACAGUAAGUUGUGUUGAAAAUAUGUGUACAUAAUAGAGUAACUAAAGAUGAAAUGAAGGGCAAAUCAAAUAUAGAACCUUCAUUUUCAACACAACCGGCUAUGCCACUCCCUGUCAAAUAAAGCCUCUUUAAUUCCUUGAAGGGAAGAAACAAAGAGGCAUUCAGAUACCAAUAAUCCAAGUAUCCGGACCUCAUAGAAUCAAGAGAGAGUCCAAUGAGUCUCCCAGUGGUGGUGUUGCACUCAAUCCCUUUCCAUUUACAACAAUCUGAACCUUUAACCUCGUCCCAGCUGUCGAACUCAUUAUAGUGAUUGAAGAAAGGUUUGAGUUGCAAGAGAGCAACUCUCUCAUGCUCCACACAAGCAUCAAUAGUGCACCACCUGCAUCCUUCUAACAGUAGCAGCACACUCAUCACUGCCAUCCUCAUAAACCACAACCAUUUGGAGUCCAUCAUCUCUCUGUUUUUGCUUCUCUCUCAAUUGUAUGCUACUUCAAACUUCUAUUGCAUUAGCCUUCAUGAAACUUGUUAUUUAAAGACAAGGACCUAAGGCUGAAGGCAACCCACUAGUCCACGCUGAAAUAGUCCACUGAAUGUGACGAUAUAUAGGCCCUACAAAGUGUGGUUGUGGAAAUAAUCUAAACACCUAUCCUCCAAAUUAAUACUAUUCCUUGAGAAAUUAUUAAAGGUCAAUUUCUGGUUUUAGUCCCUACGCAAAAUUCAUUUUGAAGGUUUAGUUUUUAUAUAAUUUAAGAUCAAAUUUUUAUAAUUAAAUUAUCAUUUACGUCUGCUUUAAAAUUAUGAAAAAAAUAUUUUAAAAAUAUAACGAACUCCAGCUACAGCUUCAAAAUAUGAUGAAGAUGUUUUAGUAGAAUAAAUCGCAGAAUCCGCCAUCUUUGACUUUUGUUUUCUUAUUGUGAGAAUAUCUUAACAUUAUAACUUUUGAAUAUAUUUUGUUAUUUCAGUUAUUAAUUUAGAUCAUAUACAAAUUUCUUUCGUGAUAGUCUCAUUUAGAUUUGAAGUUUGUUGUUGGAUUUGAAGUUACAGGAAAAUAUGUUGAAAAUUUGGGUUUAAUAUUAAAUAAAAUGGGUUGGUAAAAUCUAUUAAUGUUAGUGGCGUUUUCCCACAAAUGCCACUAUAGAACAUGAUCUUUAGCUGCGCUUUUACUACAAACAUUGCUAAAAAACAUGAUUUUUUGUGGUACUUCUAGCUAUAAAUGCCACAACAUGCUUGACUCUUUUAUAGUGUUUUUCCAAAUGAACGCCGCAAAUUUUAGCGGCGCUAUCUAAAGCGACUUUUUACUGGCACUUAUCAAAGCGCCGCAAUCUGUUUUAGCGGCACUUAUAAGCACCGCCAUAGGGCCAAAAAAACACCGCUAAAAACCUAUUUUGCUGUAGUGAUUUACGCAUUUAUAAGCCUACAAAAUAAUCACGGAUUCAAUUUUAGAGUCCGUUAUCAGCCCCUAAUCGGGACAUCAAAUUGACCAAAAAGGGCCCACAUGACCUACCUGUUCAACUUGUGUAAUUGCACACGCCUAAGUGCUCCACACGGCCUGGCACACGGCCAACUACACAUCAAUGUGGUGCACAUGAACUUGUGACGCAGAGUAGCUUUGAAAAUUGUAACCUCCCAAACCCGGCCUAGAUGUUAUGACUAGAUUGAGAAGGCUACAAUAGCCACCGAAAUGGCUAAGCUAACUUACGUUACUUUUGAAGACCUUAAAUAAACUCAUUUUAGAGAAAACCGUAGUUGUACUUUGAGUUAGCUUAAAAGCAUUCAUUCAUUAGGUCGUGUAUACUUAGGAUUCAUUUUAUUGUUGAUAGUGUUGUUUUACAAAAAUAGUUUGCUUAUCGCUCUUCUUUUAAAAAAAACUCGAUGGUAAACUAAUGUGCGGAAAAACCAUUUUUCAAGUCAUUUUGGAAACUUAGUUGCCUUAACGAUUUGUUUUUCAGAAACAAUUCCUUUUUAAUGCAGCGGAAACUAGGGAACAAUAUCAAAUUUUACUUAAGCUCGAUAUCAUGCAUUAUUCAGUUAUUAUGCUUGAGUAAUCCAUGCAUGCAAAAAUCCCAAAAGAAAAGUUACUAAGCCACAAACCACAAGUCAUUAAAAAUUACAAACCAAAACUAAUAGAAUCUGAUUAAUACUUUUUAAAAAUAGUCCGAGGUCCAAGGUGAUUCUUCGAAUGCCAAGUCCGAUCCUAAUUUUGAGGUUUACACAUUCAUUUGACAUACUCAGCACGUCCUCAAUAAUCACAUACUUUUAGUAAAUGAAAACAAUGUUCCAAACUUUCAAAUUACCAUUGUGUUGGUAUUAAUCAAUAUCGUUCAAUUUCGCAUACUUUAUGAAUUUUGAUUAUGCAUAAAUAGCACCCUAUACAACAUAUAUGUAUAUAAUAUAUGCCAAGAAAAUUUAGAAAUACAAUAAAUCAACCUAAAUGAAAUCAUUCAUCAUCAUUUUUCAAGAUUUUAAAUUAUAUUUUCUCAUUCCCAUUGUCAGUGUAUUUCAACUUGUAAACAAAGAUGAUGGCUACUAUAAAUGGAAUCAUUGAUAUAUCAUGAUAUUUGAAUUUGACAACUAUUUUUAUACAUUUUAUUACCAAAAGUAAGGGUAUUAAUUUUUUAAUGUUUAAUUGUGGUUUAGAGUUAAUUUAUUUAAAGUUAAUUGUUAAUAUUAUUAAAUUCAAAUUUUCGUAAUUGUAUUAAUAGAAUAAAUUUAGUGUUAAAAGUGAGUUUAUUCAAUUUUAUAUUUAAUUUGUUAAAUGUAAUCUAAUGAUUUUUUUGUGCUCUAGUGUUGAUUUAAUUAAAGUUAAUUAUUAAUAUUAUUAGGUAACUAUGAGUUCUCAUCAAAUUAAUCCUAAAAUUCAAAUUAAAUGCUAAAAAAUUAACAUUAUUACUUUUAAAUAUCAAAAUGUAUAAAUUUUAUUAAAUAUAGAUACUAAAUCAAACAAAAAUUAUAAAUUUUGAGUCGUUGCAAAUUUUUCCAACAUUUUUGGGGUCUUGAAUUUGAUAUGCAAAAAGUUGGUGGGAAUUUUAAGUCAGCAAAUCCUUUAAAAGGGCAAUGACAUAAUUAAUUGCAUUACUUUAAUGGUUGAAUUUUCAUAGCUAAUAUGUAUGCAAAAAGUUGGUGUGAAUUUUAAGUCAGCAAAUCCUUUAAAAGGACAAUGACAUAAUUAAUUGCAUUACUUUUCAAAGAUCGACUACUGACUUUGGUGAACUUAUUUAUAGAAGGUUAAAUUCUGCUGUUGGUCACUGUACUUUACGAAAGUUGUGAAUUUAGUCUCUAAACUUCAAUUUGAUCAAUUUUAGUCUCUAUACCUUUUGAAUUUUGAAAUUUUAGUUCUAACCCAAACAGUAGCAGUUAUCAAUUUGAUUAAAUUCUAUUACUAUCGAUUUAGUCCAAACUUUCUGAAUUUUGAAAUUUUAGUCUUGAUGCAAAUGACAAUCACUGGUCUAUUAAUUGGAUUUUUAGUAAAUAAUAUGUGAAAAUAACAAGUUUGUUGACACCAUUUUUUUGAUAAAAAUGGGGUCGACUUAGAUUUUGAAAAUAAAAACGAAAAUGGGAGUCGCCACCGAUCCUUUUUGAUAAGGUGUGAUCGGGUCACCUCAAAAAGUGAUUGUUUUUAAUAAGCGAUUUGAUUUUAUUAAAACAACGAUUUUAGUCCACGAAAUUUAAAAAAAUGGGUUCGGGAGUCGGUUACGUUCAAGGAAGGAUUAGCACCCUCGUAACGCCCAAAAUUGGUACCUAGUUGAUUAAUUAAUAUCUUAAUGUCGAGAAUUGAAAACUCGAAAAGAAUUUAAAAUACAAUCAUUCCUUUUUAUUAAUGUUAAAUUUAUAAACGAUGCUUGGAUAAAUCGAGGUGGAUGCUAAAGACCUUCUUGUCUCAGAGUAAAUAAAAUGUCAAUCCAGUACGUUAGGACACAACAUUUUAAAUCCUCGAGAACAAGCUUAUCUUUUUAUUUUCAAAACUCGUGCAUUUAAAUUUCAAAAGGAUAUUCGAUUAUUUGGAUCAAAGGAGAUAAAUCGAAACCCAGUGAGUUAGGGCACGAUCAUUCAAAUUUCCCAAAUACAGAAUAUCACUUUUAUUAUUUUUUUAGGAAAAUCCUCAUCUCGGGAAAACAACAUGUCAUAUCCAAUGCGUUAGGACACAACGUAUUAGAACCCAAUACGUUAGGGCUCAAUCUUCUCGAAGAUCCAAAAUACCGAGUAUUACCCUUAUUUUCAAAAUUUUCUCUUUAUUACGAAUUUGAGUAAAAAUUGUAAAUGACAGAAUAACAAUUAUGAUAAUGUAAAUAAAUAAAUAAAUGAAUAGAAUGAAAAAAAGUAAAAAAGACAUAUAUGUAUGUGCAUAUAUAUAUAUAUAAAUUAUAAAAAAUAUAUAUGAUAUUAUAAAAAUGUAUGCAUGUAUAUAUAUUAAAAGUAUAUGUAUAUGUGUAUUUCGAAAGUAUAAAGUAUAUAAGAUAUAUAUAUGUAUAUGUUUAUAAAUUAUAAAAUAUAAAACAUAUAAGUACGUAUAUAUAUAUAAAUGAAUCAUGAAAUGCACGUGUAUAUAUGUAUAUAUUAGAAAAUGUAUGAAUAUAUAACAAAAUUUGGAAUUAAGGAUGUAAAUGAGUGAAUAAUAAUAACAAUGAAUUAAAAUACAAAAUCAAUGAUGCCAUACAAUAGUAUUAAUAAUAUCAAAAUAAUUAAUUUAAUGAUAAAAUAACUAAAACAACAAAUAGAGGAUUAAAUUAGAAACUAAACUAAAAUUUGGGGUCAAAUAAAAAUAACUUAAAGAGGGUGACUCGGGACUAAAACAAAAUGCGCUGAAGGAGCAAGGGACUUCCAGGGAAAUAUUCCCUAGUCCUGAAACGCAGCACUUCAGCAAGGAUUAAAAUGAAAUCAGAAAAAAAUUUAUGGGCCAAAAUGAAAGAAACAAAAGGGACAAAUUGCACUGAACUAUAAAAGAGGAGGGGCUGAACGCGCAAAUAGCCCCUCCAGGCAUAACACGCGGAUCCUGACCGCAUUCGGGUCGGGUCUCGGAUCGGCUCCUGGGUUUUAUGCCAAACGGUGCUGUUUUGGCCAUGGAUGCUAAGGUCCAAAACGUCGCCGUUUUUAAACUAUAUAAACACUCAAAAAAUCAACAAAAAAAAAAUUCAUCCCUUAUUUUUUUCAAAAAAACUGAGAGUCUCCCUAACUCUCUCUCAACCCCCAUCCCUCAUAUUCGGCCGACGACCUUCUUAGGCCUCCGUCGCGCCACCUCGUAGCCGGAGGUCGGCGCCGGAAAUGAAAGGCCAUUAAACCCCUUUUGUGGAGUCCUUGAGAGCCAGGCUCUCUCAACCCGCGAGGAGUGAAACAAAAGGGGGACCCUCGACCUUGGCAGACCCGACUCAACGAUGGAGGAGAGAGCCUCUGGCGGCACAGUCACGGCCAACUCCAGUGAGUCACCCUUCCCUUUUUGUCCUUUCUUUUAGUACUAGUUUUAAAAUCAGAUUUUUUAAAAAAAUGAUAAAUAAAAUAAGUAAAUAAUUCAAAAAAAAAGAAUCGGAGAAGACAGCAACCUUUGUUUCUAUUUCUGAAAUUCGUAAAAAAAUGACAGACGAAGAAUACAAUGUUAAGAUUUUGGCCUUUAUAGCCGAUUUAAAAACCCCUAAAUUUUUAUUUUUUGUCGUUUUGUUGUUUGGCCUGUUCUGCUGUUGCGUGUGGUUUACUGCCUUGCAGGUGUCAGAGGCUGACGGUCGGUGAUAGGCGAGUAACGGCCUGCGUGAGGAGUGGCAGAGGAGGCAGAACAUGCGGCGCUGGGCAUUGGGCAGAGGCGUGCGGCGCUUUGGGGUUUGCUCUUGGCUGAAAUUGUUUAAGUUGUGGGGCAGUCGAGCCACUAGGGUUUUUUUUUAUUGGGACGUUUGGGCCAUUGUAAUUUUGGGUUUAAGUUUGCUGUAAAUGGACUGGAAUAGUUUUUAUUUUUUAGGCCCGGGCCAAAAUUGGGCCUUACAAAGUCGAUAUGACAUUACACAAAUGAUAAUAUGUUUGUCACACCAAAUUUUAGAGAUAGCAGAACUUAAUGAAUUUAACAAAUAUCGUUUACGGUGAUUGAAAUCUUAAAAUUUGAAAAGUACAAUAACUAAAAUAUCAAAUUAACUUAUAGGGAUUAAAUCCACAACUUCAAUAAAAUACAGGAAUUAAUGGUAGAAUUUAACCUUUAUAUAAUAAUUUCCUUGGUGAAAAAAACGCACAUUAUCAUUUCCUUGAAUGAACUUCAAUUUGUCCAUUGAGAUAUAAUCGGAGGGAGUGGAAUAUAUAUAAGAUAAUAUUUGAUGUAUUCGGUAAAUGGAGAAUAUUAAAUAGAGUGAGCAAGCCAUUCGCCUCACGGAACACAUUAACGAAAGACACAAGCUUAAUACAGUCACUAAAUCCAUCAAUUUCAUUAACAACCUGCUAAUAAUUCAAGACAAUUGUUGGGUCCGGAUGGAUUAUAUUUUAAAAUUUUCUUUCAAAAUACAGAAGUUCCUUUGACAAAAAUGAAAAUAUUAUUUAAUUAUAGGGUUAGUAAUUAGUACACUGAUAAUCUACUUAAUGCUAUUGAUUUUUUUUUAAUAUUAUACAACACCUUUAUAAAACACGUGUCAACCCUCUGACUCUGCUUAUGAAAUUUAAAAACUUCAAUGACAAUGUACCAACUAUUAUUCUUAAUUAUUAUACUAUUCAUGAUUUAAGGACAAAGAUCAAAUACAAUAUUUGCUUAAAAAUCUCUAAUAUAUAUGUAUAUAUAUAUAUAUAUAUAUAUAUACAUUUGCUCACUUAUUGUGAUGUAAUAUAGCACCAUCCAGCUAACCCUAGCUUUCUAGCAAGUAGUCGGAGGAAAUUAUUGAGAAAAUAUCAUUAAAUAUAUCAACAAUAAUUGCACUAACUUUCCGAUGUUAACUACUGACCUUUGCGUCAACCUUGAGCUUAUAUAGGCCCCCUACAAUAAUUUAGGCUAUGGAAAUAAUCUUACAAUUAAUGCCUGAGAAAUAAUUAUAGAUCAAUUUAUAGUUUUAAUCCCUAUAAUUACUCAAUUGAAUUAAAAAUUUUGUUAUUCUUAUUUAAUUUAAUUUGAUAUAUUCUGUUCCUCUUAUUAAUGUUAAUGUUUAGAGUCCCCGCUUGUACAUUGGUGAUUAGGUCUCUCACCAUUAAAUUAUUCUCUUAAGAACCUAACCUGCAAAUUCAUAACAUAAAAAAUUUACAGUCAAAUGUAAUCACACAAAUGACAUUCCUCACUUAAACAGAUUAAGUCGUUGCAAAUAUCUAAACAUAAUCAAAGUCGUCGUUAUGGCCCCAAGAGAAGGCACGUUAACUUGUCUCUCUCACACAUAGGAUGAAAUUAGUCUAAACCUAACCUUGGUAGAGCCGACCAUGUCGGGCAGACCACCCUACAUAAAUCUGAUUAUUUUAUCAUAGUUUAUUCAUCACUGAAGGAAGUAUGCAAAAUUAGGCAUACCAUUUAUCCUCACCUCUCUCGCUGACAAAAGAUUCAUGUUAAGUAUAUUCACCCUACAUAAAUUAUCAAGAGGAAUCACAGAUUUAAGGACCGUGGAAAAGAAUUCCAGAACCAGUUAUAUACAAGCAGGGCCUAUGACAUCCCCACUAAUUCUCAAUCAUAUAAAAUAAUAUAUAAUUAAUUCGUCUGGAAUGUUUAAGGCAUGGUGGUGAAUAUAUCAUGAGCGAUGUUGCUGAGUUUCUUCUGAAGAAUUGGCUAGCUAUUAGUGUCUAAAGGAUCUUUAGUUAUAUGGGGCUUAUGUUUCGGUUGCUUGAACAAUUGCUUUUCAGAGGGCAGAAUAGUAGAGGGGGGUUUUGGGGGUCUGGUGGUAUGGAGUUAUGAUGUUAUCAAUAUGAGAUUUUGGUGAUUUGUACUUGAUAAAGGGACACUUUUCGUGAGGGAUUGCUACAUUUUGCAGAUUAUAACAUUGUUUACAAGUGCUUAAAAUGUGUAAUAAUUUGAUCGAGAGAAAAAAUGACCAAAACAAAUGUUCUCAGCAUUUUUGCUUCAUUUAGAACUUGUAAUUAAUUUUUUUUAUCAGAGAAGUUGUAAUUAAUUGGAUUUGGAAUGAAUUGAUAAUAUCCUUACUAUUUCACCUUUUUUAUAUGUUUGGCGUGUGAGUAUGAUACAGAUUGAACUGGUUUUUAAAGUAGAAAUAAAACGAUAACAAACCAAAACAUUCUGGUUUUCAAAAUUUUGAAUCCAAAUCAAUCGAAUUAGUUUAAUUAUAAUUGAAUGUUUUAUGUGUUAUGAUGAUGAAGGAAGUUGAUGAGGUGACUUGCUUCAUCUUUCAAAAUAUGAGGUUCGUUUGAAGUUCUCUUUGACACAUCUUUACUAUUGUUUUUUAAUAACAAAUGAAAAGUCAAUUUAAAAAACAAAAAUCCAAACCAAUGAAUUUCUUUUAUACAUAUAAGAUAAGCUUACUGCAAAGCUCUUGUUUUUUCAAAAUAAAAUUUUGUUUUUGUUUUAUUAAUUUUGUAUGAAUCAAAUGAAGUUUAAUUUUUUUAAGGGUAAAUUAAACCAACAGUAACUCAACUUUGAUGCAGCUGACAAAAUAGUUGAUUUGGUUUCAAUUCAGUCACUCAACUUUCAAAAAAUAACAAAUCAGUCACUAACGUUACCAAAAAGUGACAAAUCAAUCACCCAUUAACAUUUUCCGUUACAGACCUAACGGGACAGGUGACAUGGCUAGUUAACUUGCCACGUUGACAUGGCAAUGCAUUUAAAAUUGGUCUAAUUAAGAAUUUGGUCAUUGUACAUUAUGAAAACAUAAAAAUUAUUUCAAUUGAGUAUCAAUAUUAAAUCUUGUCCAUUGACCCAAAAAUCAUCAUUUCAACAAAUUGUAUGUAAGAAAUUAGUGAAAAUCAACAAUUCAGUAAUUUAUAUCAAAAUUGAGGACUAGCUUUUCAUUUUUUUGUAAAUUACAUGGAUGACAUUCACAAUUAGACCUAAAUAGUGACAAAUUACAAAUUUAAACCCUAAAUACCUUUGUUCAGAGGAUCCGUAGCCAACAGAAUCAAUAAAACCGAUGGAGAUGAAACUCAUGCAUUUGGCGUGAAGAUGAAACUGGACAGAGUAGAACUCGCAUUGUUCGUCACCGUUGCAGGUGUCACAGUCACACGAGAAUCGCAUCGACAUGGCGCGUCGGCUAGUGAGAGGGAUUAGAUCAAGUCGAUGGGCAAUGAACUUGUCGUUGACGACGGAAGAGUUAACUUCAAUUUUGACGAGGUCGAUGGCUAUGUUGGGAACCUCGGCUAUCAUGACACGAUGGAGGGCAUUGGCCAUGGAGGCGUUGGUGUCAUGGCAGCAUAGUUGUCUUUGAGUUCUCGGAUUUUGACCCUUGGGAAUCGCUAGUAUGAAGCUCCUUCCAUUUUCUCUUCUUCUCCAUUUCUUCUCUUCUUCUUCUUCUUCUUCUUCUUCUACUGCCCAAGGCUCUUAAAUGGGGUUGUUUAAAUGACAGCUAGCCUACCGUUAAAUGUCAUGUCACUUUUCUGUUACAAACGUAACGGAAAAUGGUUAAAAAGAUUGAUUUGUUAUUUUUCAAAAAUUAAGUGAUUGAAUUGGAACUAGAGUGACUGUUUUGUCAAUUGCAUCAAAGUUGAGUGAUUGUUGUUGCAAUUUACCCCUUUUUUUUUAAUAGAGAUAAGCUUUGUGGUGGAAAUUUGUUAGGAAAGGAUGAUUGUAGGAAUGGUCCACAAAAUUAAUUGCAUUCCCUUUUCUUGAUGAAUUCUUAUCUUUGGGUCAACUCUUAGCUUAAAUACACUGCUAAAUUUAUUUUAGGUUGUACAAUAUAAAUGGAGCAAUUGAUGUCAGGAGAUAAGUUGGAAGUACAAUUAAAUUUUUUCAUAAGAGGAGAUGGGAUGAGAAGAUUUGAACCCAACAAUUAUUGGAAUUUAGAUUAUAAAAUUGGCGUGAAAUCAUGAAUUUAGAUUAUAAAAUUCUUUCCAUUUUAAUAAUCAUUUUAGAACUAGUUUGGUUUCCAAUCUAUAUUUUGUGUUGUGUUUUGUUUAUGUCAAAUUUUAAAGUAAAACUUUGAAAGUUAAAAUACAUUCUAAGUCCCUAUACACUUUGUACUUUUAGAAUUUAGUUCUCCUAGUUUUUAUUUUUAUGAAUUUAGUCUUUCUAUUUUUUGGUUUUCAAAAUUCAAGUCCCCAAUUAUUUUCACUGUUAAAAUUCUUCUAUUAAACUCACUAGUGUCACCUUUUGAAAUUACCAAAAAAAAAAUCAUUUUGUAGUCAUGUAAUAAUAAAGAAUAACGUUAAAAAUAAUGAUGUGGAUUUUUAUUUAAAAUACUCAUCCAAACUGAUCAUGAUAAAAUGACUUUUUUUUUUGUUGGAAUAGUGUUUUUAAGAAAAAUUGACGUCAAUAUUUUGAUUGGAAUAGUUUACAAUGUUAAUUAUUUAGACUAACUAAUGACAUUACAAAAAUAAAAUAAUGAAAUUAUGCCAAAAAUUAAGGAAUAUAAAUUAAAUCUCAAGUUUUAACAUAAUAUAGGGGCUAAUACUAAAAUUUGACCAUUAAUUUCCAUGUAAUAUAAAAUAAAAAUAAAAAAGUUGUGUGAAGCAGCCCAAGCUUAUGACAGAAAAAAAAAAACACGGCCCAAAGCUAAGGUUACGUGUUAGAAAGGGAAUGUCAUGAUAGGGGUGAGUAUUCGAUCAAGUCGAGUUAAAUUGAGUCAAAAAAGUUUAAGUUAGUCGAGUUUACGAAUCCUAUUUUAGUAACCGAACUCAAUUUGAAUUUUUUUUCUGAAUCAUAUUGAGUCAAAAAGUUUCGAGUCAAGUUGAGUCGAGCUAAAGAAUCCUAUUAUUUAUACUCAAAACUUAUAUUUACAUGGACCGAUUAUUUAACUAGUAGAUGAAGUACAAGAUUAUUUAACUACAUAAACAAUAUAAUGGUUUUGCCUUUUAACUUAAUGAGUAAAUAUUUAUCAAAACGAUAUAGUUUUGUCUUUUAAUUUAAUAGUUUUGACUUUUAACUUUGGAAAAGAUAAAUUCAGAUUUUCAGAUAACUCGAAUUGUGUAAUUCAUAUUCAAGUUGAAUAUAAAAACUUAAUUUUUUUAUUCGGGUUGAUCCGAAUAACUUGAUUAACUCAAAUAACUCGAACUAUUUAAUUCAAAAUUUAAAAUUUUUAUCAAAAUUUUCAGAUCAAAUCGAAUUUUGCUCACCCCUAGUAUUGGACAUUAUUUUUAUAUACGGGUGUAUAUAUAUGUGUGCGUGUGUGUGUUUGAUGUGAUUUCCUUGUGAGUUCCAUCUAUUUUUAGAAGUUUUUCCACGUAAAAUAUGUGUAUUUAAUAUUUUCAAUUCUUUUAUUAUUCUACUUGCUCGUUGCAAAUACGUUUGAUUCACAACAUUUUAACCUAAACUUAAUUGUAAAUGAUAAGAGAUAUUUUACGAUUAAAUAAAAAAAUUUAAACCACUAAACCAUUACCCUAAUAUGUCAAAACACAUGCAUUUUUUAAUUUCAAAAUUUAUGAAUUCCGAAGUAAAGAGCAUACGAUAUUUAUAUUAAUGUAAGAAAUGUAGGCUUGCUAAGUUUCGCAAAAUCAUAUUACACUUUUAAUUGAAUAUAAUGGUGGGAUGAUUCAAUUAUUAAAAACUAAGUUCGGGCAAAAAUGUAAAAAUAAUCUAAAAUUAAUUGAAUUAUUAUAAUAAAUUUAUAUAACUUAUGGAGUGAACCAAAUCAUGACAUAAUAUCAAAAAUAAUUAAGACAUGUCAUAUUACAAAUAAUAAAAACUCAACUUUAUAAGCAUAUCAAAAUUUAUUAUCAUGGCGUAUAAUAUGUUAUGAAAAAAGAAAAAAGAAAAAAGAAAAAAGAAAAAGAAGAGAGACAAUCGCUUCAUCAUGAGAUAUAAGCCCUUGAAACCAAAAGUUAGUUGAAGCUGUUAGGAUCGACUCAAUUAAGCAACAAGUAACAAAAAAUAGUGGAGUAAAUUGAGAAAUUGAACACACAAAUUUAACGUGGAAAACCCCUCCAAAGAGGAUAAAAACCACGGGCAAAAAUAAUUUUACUAUAAUGACAAAAGAAUGAAGAGUACAAAAGAUGGAGAUAAAAAGCUAAACCCCAAAAAACCCCAAAAACAAAGAACCCUCAAAACGUAAACACAAUGUAACGCCCCAGAAUUUUUAUUUUUGUUCUUGCAAAGGUAUAACACAAUUGUGUAUCUACUUUAGUGGUUAAGUGUUUUGGGUGUAUGAGAGGUCUCAAGUUCAAGCCAAGACUUGGCGAAAUUUUGGUAUUUUUAUGAAUAAGCUCUAUCUUUGGUCAGUAGGCUUUUAAGUAAGAGUCGACAAAUAAUUAAAAGAAUGAGCUUGUUCGUUUGGUGGAUAAGUGGAGUGUUGGUGUGAAGGAGGUUUUGUGUUCAAUUCUCUAUGGUGGCAUGGAGAUAGUAUUUUUGCUCCAAUUUUGGCUAAGAGUUGUGUUUGGGCAAAAUUCUGAGUAGUUGUGUUUUAGUGGGUUAAUAGGGAGUGAUUUUUGGAAAUAAUGGGGGAGAGGUUAUCAGAAAAUAAUCUGAUUGUCUUUUUAUUGCAUAAAAAAAGUAGAGUUUCGGUUUUCUCUCCAAUUACCCAAACUUUUUCUGACGUUUUCUUCUUUUUUUUCCCUCCGCUGUCGAUUCUUUCCCCUAGUUGUUGCCAAAAUUUCCAUUAUUUUUUCCCCUUCCAUUUCUUUCUUUUAUUUUCCAAUUGAUUUGGUUGUUUAUCGUUGGUUGCGUGUGUUCGGUAAGUAACGGUUUUGUCUAUUGUUAAUUGUUCUUAGUUAAUCUCUGAAAGGGGGAUUCCUUUUUGGUGUUUCGGAGUUAAUCAAGGGGCUAGUGGUUAUGAAUCGAUGCUGUGAUUGUGUGAAGUCAUGAUUACUCAAGCGAGGUAAGGGUUUUGUUAGGUUUUUAGUUGAGUUCCUUCCAAAAUUGGUUAAUUAAAAAUGAAUUAAGUGAUUAAUCUGGAGAUUUGUUGGUCGAUUUUUAGGUUAUGGAGGCUUAGGAGUGCUUACGCAUUAGAAAUGAUACCAGGUGUGUACCCGAAAAGCAGAAAAUGAGAUUCGGCGAAAAGCAUAAAUUGCUUGCUAUUUGGACAGCAGCAGUGGGCUAACUUUAAAAAAUCAUCAUAAAUUGUGAAAAUUGAAUUAAAGGAUGAAAAAAGUAUGGAAUUAAAUAUUAUUGAGUCUAGUUUCUCAUAGAGAAAUGGUGUAAGUAAUGGAAUUGUAAAUCGUGAGAUAUAAUAAAUUUUGUGAGACAAGGUCAGAAUGAAUUCAGGUUUCCCUUUUUUGACUUUGGAAAAUCAUUAAAAAUUGUAUAAAAAUGAUUAUGGGUUAAAAUUUAUAUGAUUAAAAUUCUUAAUGAGUAUAUUUUCAAGAGAAACAAACCUUAACAUCAUCUGAAUCUCGUACUAAGAGAUAAUUAAUUUUUAGAGAAGAAGGGUCGAAAUUAUCAGACAGCAGAACAGGGACAAUUUUGAAGAAUUAACUGUACUCAUUGGCUAAACCAAAAAUUCUAAAAAUUUUAAGGUAAGAAGAUAUGUGAGUCUGUUUUUCGGGAAAAUCAAGCGGAUCUUAAUUUUGAAUUCUGUAGCUCUAGUUAUAAAUAAUUUAGUGACAAUGACUCAAGUAGACAACUCUGAAUGAUCAUAUUAGUAAAUAGUGGAAACAUAUAUGAAUAUUUAGCUAGCAUGGGUUACAUUAAAAAUGGAUCACACGGCCAAGGCCAAUUUGGGCCGAGUGGGCCACGCGGGCACAUGGGCGUGUGGGUCCAUUUUUACCAAAAUGUUUCUAAGGCUGCACAGGUUGCCCAAGUCGACUGUGAACCUACUGUAAGGUCGGUAAGUGCUACUUAAACCCCUAAAUGUGUGAAAUUGACUGAAUGAUAUUUGUACUGAGCAUGUUAAUAUCUAAACUGAAUAUAUGUACUGAAAUUGCAUAAUAGCAUAUCAUCCAUGGUAUGUUGCAUUGCAUUGGGUUGAGGGUUGUUAUUUGGAGGAAAUGUACUAAAAGGCUUUAAGCCUAAUUUACUGGAAUCUUAGCUACAAACUACUGUUUUGUGCCGCAAUAUUCAAUACUACUUGAAGUGUAGGAAUGGGUGGGUUGAUUAUAUCCCCACAUGGUGUGUAGAGGCUGGUUGGCAAAUGGAGUUUUAGUAAGCACAAGCAUCGUCAUCUGUCCAUCAUAACUUGGAAGACAACAAAGAUACUCAUAAAAUAGAUCUGCAAACUGAAAAGAGAGAAGUCAUGUGGAGUGAAUAAGAAGAAGAAAGAAAAAAAGGUUGGUGGGAGGAAGAAAAAGGGUCGCGAUAGCCAAUCCGAAGGUUGUCAAUGCCAUUGGGCAAAAUAAAACAUAAUAAACAAACGGCUUGGAGAAAAAAAUUAAGAAAGAAGAAAAAAUUUAGGCAAAAUUUAUAUUAAUGUAAGAAAUGUAGACUUAUUAUGAUAUUACAUUUUUUAGUGUGAUCAUUCAAUUAUUAAAAAUGUAUUUAUAACAAAUUAUGUAAAAUUUUAUAUAAGCAUAUAAUAUGUUAUGCAAAGAGAAUCACUUUUCUUAGUUGAAUUGUUAUAACACAUUAUACAAAAUAUAUUUUAAAUUAAAGCAUAAUGUGAAUACGAUACCAACCAACAAAUUAAAUUCGAUGAUUUAUGGAUAAUUACAUUUAUUACUCAAUUUAAUUUAAUUCAAAGAGCUAUUGAAUACACAUAACAAUUAAUUAUGAUUAAACUUUAAAUUUCACAGAAAAUAAAAAGAAAUAGAUUGUUGAAAAUGAUAAAAUGGAAAGAUAAAGCUACAAACUUCCUCCCCACAAACCUAAGAGCUUUUUAUUCAAAAUGCAGAAAUCAACAAAAUAGUCCUCACAAUCCAACUUAGCAUAGUAAAACAAUUAGGUGGGGAAAUCAAAUAGUAAAUUCCUUUUUCCUUGAAUCAACACCAACCGACUUUGUUGAAAUCUUCACUAUAGCUAAUCACAUUGCCUGAAGAUGUGAUAUGUAAGAAAAUUGGCCAUUGUUGAGUAACGACAGGUUGUGAUGCACUUUCCAAUAAAAGAAAACCAAACACUUCGCCAAUAAGGAUUUAUGUAAAGAACAACAAAAAUUGUCAAGACCACAACUAUAUAAGAAACCAGGAAGCUCACACAAAAAUCAUAUGUGUCUAGCAAACUGUCCUCUCCUUCAUCAUCUAACGAAUUUGAUCUAGUUGAUGGUGCAUCUGGUUUGGAGCAACUUUUAUGCAAAAUAGUUCCACAAAGAAAAGGGUUUCCCUCGUAACUACUUUCAAUAAAGGUCCCAAAUUGAGCUUUUGGUUCAGGAAUACUACCUGACAAGUUGUUGUGUGCCACACUAAAAACUUCCAAAGAGUUCAACUCUACCAACUGAUUGGGGAUUUCACCACUCAAGUUGUUGUAAGAAAGGUCCAAACUCUCAAUUUGAUGAAGUUUUGAGAAUGAUGAAGGUAUAACUCCGAUCAACUUAUUGUGUGACAAGUUUAAAGAAUAGAUUUCACUUAAGUUCCCUAAUUCUGGUGGGAUAUGACCAGUUAAGUUGUUGCAAGAUAAAUCAAUCCCGGUCAUAUAUGCAAGGAUGUUGCCCUCGUACGAAUACAACCCACUCUUUGUUGUGAACUCUAUUACUUCUUCUAAAUUCUAUUACUUCUUCUAAGUAGCUGUCAGGGUAGUAAGGAUUUAUAUCCCUUUCCAAUUUUCUCAUCGCAAUGGAUGUUGAUUCAUCCUUUUCUGUAAAUGGAAGAUAGAACCCAGUUGCUAGACUCUCUUUCUCUUUCAUUGGAAGAGAUAAAUUUCCCAAACAAGAAGGUAUAGGACCAGAAAACAUAUUUUGAGAAAGAUCUAUGAUGCUUAAAGAAUACAACUUGCAUAACUGAAUUGGAACUUUGCCAUGAAAAUGAUUAUCUUUCAAGAGAAGAACACUCAAAGAAGAAAGUGUGUCAAUCCAUUUUGGCAUGCUACCUGUCAAAUUUUUUUCUCUAAGAUCUAAAGUCACUAGUGAAGAGCUAUUAUAAAAAGCAAGUGAUAGUGGACCUCUCAGUCUAUUCCCGUGGAGGUGGACAUGCUUUAUGUUUGGUGGAUUAAAACAUGACGGUAUAGAGCCAGAUAAAUUAUUUUGAGAAAGAUCCAAAAACUCCAACCAAUUCAAGUUGCAAAAUUCCAUUGGAAUAGAACCCUCGAAACCAUUGUUGGACAAAGCCAAUCUCAAUAAAAAUGAUGCAUUCCCUAUCCAUCUUGGGAGCUUUCCAUGCAACUGGUUGUUACUGAGAUCAAUAUCGCUUAGUGAAUUUGGAAACUCAAAAGUAGACACAUCAACAUUUGUCACCUCUCCUGAAAAUUUAUUUCCAUCCAAAUAUAAAUUCUGCAGCCCAUUUGCUUUGAGAAUCGCAGGAACUACAUUUCCACUGAAGUUGUUAUUUGAUAGUCUCAAAAUGGUCAGUGAGCCUUUCGUGAUCAACUCUUCUGGUACUUUUCCAUACAAUUGAUUGUUUGAUAGAUCUAAAAUUGAUAAAUCCUUCAUGCCACUUAAACAAAGUGGGAUAUUACCUUCAAAAGCAUUCUUGGAUAAGAAUAACCGACUCAAAUGUGGAAAAGUUGAACAUAUACUGGUCGGAAUUUGACCUUGUAUUUUGUUUUCAGAGAUGUCAAUUGAAGAUACAUUAGAAAUAAGAGCUGACGAAAAUGAGAGAGGACCUGUAAAAGAAUUGCCCUUCAAGAUGAGAUCUUCUAACUUUGUGUUGUUUUCUAACAACCAAGUUGGGACCGUUCCACUGAAAUUGUUAUGAGAAAGAUCCACAUAUCUCAAGUCAUAUUGGUAGUAAAGGAAGGUAGGAAGCUUACGACUGAGCUGUUGAGAUGUUAUGCACUUUGACAAACUGAUGACUUCCAAUUGGAACUUUGGGAUUGAGGUAUAAAAGGAAGGUUCCGUUACCAUCUUGUUUUCAUUACUCAAGAGGGCUUUGAUAUUUGAAAGGUUUGCAAAUGGUGCGAAUGACAACGGAAUUUGAAAAUGGUUUCUUGAAAUAUCUAACACACGAAGAGCUGUCAAGUUACUAAAACAAUGAGGAAGCAUCCCCUCCAGUGCAUUCCCACUCACAUCCAAUACUUCAAGAUUCCUUAGAUCAC
This 34037-nucleotide long non-coding RNA is filed under the name Gossypium raimondii (Peruvian cotton). Its description in RNAcentral is "long non-coding RNA (GRAI_LNC003399)". The record is from RNAcentral. Lineage: Eukaryota; Viridiplantae; Streptophyta; Magnoliopsida; Malvales; Malvaceae.